GAUGAACGCUGGCGGCGUGCCUAAUACAUGCAAGUCGAGCGAACAGACGAGGAGCUUGCUCCUCUGACGUUAGCGGCGGACGGGUGAGUAACACGUGGAUAACCUACCUAUAAGACUGGGAUAACUUCGGGAAGCCGGAGCUAAUACCGGAUAAUAUAUUGAACCGCAUGGUUCAAUAGUGAAAGACGGUUUUGCUGUCACUUAUAGAUGGAUCCGCGCCGCAUUAGCUAGUUGGUAAGGUAACGGCUUACCAAGGCGACGAUGCGUAGCCGACCUGAGAGGGUGAUCGGCCACACUGGAACUGAGACACGGUCCAGACUCCUACGGGAGGCAGCAGUAGGGAAUCUUCCGCAAUGGGCGAAAGCCUGACGGAGCAACGCCGCGUGAGUGAUGAAGGUCUUCGGAUCGUAAAACUCUGUUAUUAGGGAAGAACAAAUGCGUAAGUAACUAUGCACGUCUUGACGGUACCUAAUCAGAAAGCCACGGCUAACUACGUG
This 497-nucleotide ribosomal RNA is filed under the name uncultured bacterium. RNAcentral's name for it is "partial 16S ribosomal RNA". It matches the Rfam family "Bacterial small subunit ribosomal RNA", at positions 28 to 507 of the family's 1533-position model. The record is from RNAcentral.